This 268-nucleotide long non-coding RNA is filed under the name Solanum tuberosum (potato). RNAcentral describes it as "long non-coding RNA (STUB_LNC011529)". Lineage: Eukaryota; Viridiplantae; Streptophyta; Magnoliopsida; Solanales; Solanaceae. The record is from RNAcentral.
GAGUAUGUAUGCAUUGGUGUAUAGAAGACUUUGCGUAUUGGGAAAAUAUAUACUUUUCUUUAAAACACCAUAAUACUAUAGGUGUUGGAUAUUAUUUAGUUGAUCUGUAUUUCAUGGAGAUAGAGUUUACUAACGGUUUCUUGAAUUAAGAGUGUUUGAUGUAACAGUUGCACAACUUUUUCCACUUUCCCGACAUUGUGAACUACUUGGCUUGAUUGUCUUCCUUUGAGGGUUGUUCUGUUCUUCAUUUUUCAUUGUUAAAUUAUCC